Molecule: ribosomal RNA, 261 nt
Filed under: uncultured archaeon
Lineage: Archaea
Description: partial 16S ribosomal RNA
Rfam family: Archaeal small subunit ribosomal RNA
Source: RNAcentral
CAGCCCUAAACGAUGCGCGUUAGGUGUAUCGGUGACCACGAGUCACCGAGGUGCCGAAGGGAAACCGUGAAACGUGCCGCCUGGGAAGUACGGUCGCAAGGCUGAAACUUAAGGAAUUGGCCGGGGGAGCACCACAACGGGUGGAGCCUGCGGUUUAAUUGGACUCAACGCCGGGAAGCUCACCGGAUAAGACAGCGGAAUGAUUGCCGGGCUGAAGACCCUGCAUGACCAGCUGAGAGGAGGUGCAUGGCGUAGUCGUGU